UCCCUCGAGUUCCCUCCUUAAGCAAUCUCCAGUAGGCUGCUAUUACCAAAUACCUGAGUAAAUACCAGUAAAGCUGAGUGAAGAUCUUAAUUUUAUCCCAAAUAUUGGAAAGAAAGAAUAAUCACUCAUGCUAAUGACGUGCUAUACCUGUGUUCUACAUCUGCAUCUUUAAAGUUAUUGAACUUCUUUCUAAAGGCAUGUCAAAGACCAGUGGCCUGAAAUUUUUGAUUUUUAUGACAAUAAAGAUGAGAAAGAA
Molecule: long non-coding RNA, 256 nt
Organism: Pseudopipra pipra
Lineage: Eukaryota; Metazoa; Chordata; Aves; Passeriformes; Pipridae
Exons: 2
Source: RefSeq, a predicted model, not a curated record